RNAcentral lists this ribosomal RNA (229 nucleotides) under uncultured bacterium. RNAcentral describes it as "partial 16S ribosomal RNA". It matches the Rfam family "Bacterial small subunit ribosomal RNA", at positions 568 to 796 of the family's 1533-position model. The record is from RNAcentral.
UCCGUAGGCGGGUAAUUAAGUCAGAGGUGAAAUCCCACAGCUUAACUGUGGAACUGCCUUAGGUACUGGUUAUCUUGAGUUUUAGUGAAGUAGAUAGAAUGUGUAGUGUAGCGGUGAAAUGCAUAGAUAUUACACAGAAUACCGAUUGCGAAGGCAGUCUACUAACUAACAACUGACGCUAAUGGACGAAAGCGUGGGGAGCGAACAGGAUUAGAUACCCUGGUAGUCC